UGGGGAAUUUUGGACAAUGGGCGAAAGCCUGAUCCAGCAAUGCCGCGUGUGUGAAGAAGGCCUUCGGGUUGUAAAGCACUUUUGUCCGGAAAGAAAUCCUUGGCUCUAAUACAGUCGGGGGAUGACGGUACCGGAAGAAUAAGCACCGGCUAACUACGUGCCAGCAGCCGCGGUAAUACGUAGGGUGCAAGCGUUAAUCGGAAUUACUGGGCGUAAAGCGUGCGCAGGCGGUUUGCUAAGACCGAUGUGAAAUCCCCGGGCUCAACCUGGGAACUGCAUUGGUGACUGGCAGGCUAGAGUAUGGCAGAGGGGGGUAGAAUUCCACGUGUAGCAGUGAAAUGCGUAGAGAUGUGGAGGAAUACCGAUGGCGAAGGCAGCCCCCUGGGCCAAUACUGACGCUCAUGCACGAAAGCGUGGGGAGCAAAGCAGGGUUAGAUACCCUGGUAGUCCACGCCCUAAACGAUGUCAACUAGUUGUUGGGGAUUCAUUUCCUUAGUAACGUAGCUAACGCGUGAAGUUGACCGCCUGGGGAGUACGGUCGCAAGAUUAAAACUCAAAGGAAUUGACGGGGUCAUAGCUGUUUCCU
RNAcentral lists this ribosomal RNA (586 nucleotides) under uncultured bacterium. RNAcentral's name for it is "partial 16S ribosomal RNA". It matches the Rfam family "Bacterial small subunit ribosomal RNA", at positions 355 to 1375 of the family's 1533-position model. The record is from RNAcentral.